UACGGAGGAUGCGUGCGUUAUCCGGAUUUAUUGGGUUUAAAGGGUGCGUAGGCGCGAUGCCAAGUCAGCGGUAAAAAUGCGGUGCUCAACGCCGUCGAGCCGUUGAAACCGGCGUUCUUGAGUGGGCGAGAAGUAUGCGGAAUGCGUGGUGUAGCGGUGAAAUGCAUAGAUAUCACGCAGAACUCCGAUUGCGAAGGCAGCAUACCGGCGCCCUACUGACGCUGAGGCACGAAAGCGUGGGUAUCGAACAGG
Molecule: ribosomal RNA, 252 nt
Filed under: uncultured bacterium
Lineage: Bacteria
Description: partial 16S ribosomal RNA
Rfam family: Bacterial small subunit ribosomal RNA
Source: RNAcentral